This 471-nucleotide ribosomal RNA is filed under the name Triticum aestivum (bread wheat). Its description in RNAcentral is "partial small subunit ribosomal RNA". Lineage: Eukaryota; Viridiplantae; Streptophyta; Magnoliopsida; Poales; Poaceae. The record is from RNAcentral.
AUGUCGAGGGAGCGCAAGAAGGCAGCUGCCCUACAGGAGAAGAUGCAGAUUCUGCGCUCCAUCACUCACUCCCACGCGCUGAGCAAUCCUUCCAUAGUCAUGGACGCGUCAGAGUACAUCAAGGGGCUGAAGCAGAAGAUCGCGAGGCUCAAUCAGGAGAUAGCACGCGAGGAAGACACGCACUCGCACAAGCAGAACUCUUUCCCCACGGUGAGCGUGGAAGCCCUAGGGCAUGGGUUCCUCGUGAACGUGUCCUCCGACAAGAGCUACCCCGGGUUGCUCGUCGCCGUGCUGGAGGCGUUCGAGGAGCUGGGCCUCACCGUGCUCCAGGCCACGGCGUCUUGCGCCGAUACGUUCCGCCUCGAGGCCGUCGGAGGAGAGAACCAGGCGGGGAGUGUGGAUGAGGAUGUCAUCAGGCGGGCGGUGCAGCAGGCCAUCACCAACUGCGGCGCGGAGCAAGGGGAUCAGUAG